Molecule: ribosomal RNA, 345 nt
Filed under: Acinetobacter baumannii
Lineage: Bacteria; Pseudomonadati; Pseudomonadota; Gammaproteobacteria; Moraxellales; Moraxellaceae
Description: bacterial SSU rRNA
Rfam family: Bacterial small subunit ribosomal RNA
Source: RNAcentral
AAAGUUUAAUGGAGAGUUUGAUCCUGGCUCAGGACGAACGCUGGCGGCGUGCUUAACACAUGCAAGUCGAACGGAACCUUCGGGUUUAGUGGCGAACGGGUGAGUAAAGCGCAGGUAAUCUGCCGCAAAGUCGGGGACAACGUUGCGAAAGUGACGCUAAUACCGGAUGUUGUGAGUGAUUCGCAUGAAUUGUUCACUAAAGAUUUAUCGCUUUGCGAGGAGCCUGCGUCCGAUUAGGCAGUUGGUGCGGUAAAGGCGCACCAAACCGACGAUCGGUAGCCGGUCUGAGAGGAUGAACGGCCACAAUGGAACUGAGACACGGUCCAUACUCCUACGGGAGGCAGC